UUUUGCCCCCGAUUGAAGCGGAAAGCAUUUUGCAGGAUUGGCGGACAUUUUUCUUGCCAAAAAAUUGCGACCUUAGGAGCACAUUUUUGGGCUUAUAAAAUGCCGACAAGACAAAAAAUCUUGUAGUGAAAAGCGGGAUUAGGC
RNAcentral lists this small RNA (144 nucleotides) under Flavobacterium lacus. Its description in RNAcentral is "Flavo-1 RNA". It matches the Rfam family "Flavo-1 RNA". Lineage: Bacteria; Pseudomonadati; Bacteroidota; Flavobacteriia; Flavobacteriales; Flavobacteriaceae. The record is from RNAcentral.